Molecule: long non-coding RNA, 796 nt
Filed under: Vulpes vulpes (red fox)
Lineage: Eukaryota; Metazoa; Chordata; Mammalia; Carnivora; Canidae
Description: lncRNA (ENSVVUG00000026333.1)
Source: RNAcentral
AUGUGCAUCCUUAUUCUUUGUAAUCCUCCCUCCUCAGCCCUUUGGCAGGCUCAGGCCGCUGCAGCCACCCCAAGGUAUCAGGUGGGCUCUCUACUGAGUUCACACCUGUGCCUUCACCUGUCCCAACCCGUUUCUUUCAAGGACUGUCAGGGGCACCAGGAGACAACCUACGCACCAUUAACAGAUAAACUUCAUAAGCAGCCAAGUCUUCAAAGUCAAAGUCUCUCCAUCCAAGACGAGGUGGAGCAGAAUAUACCAAUGGAAAAAUCUGUGAGAAGUAUCAUUGUGAAUUAUGGAAUCAAAAAGGAGCUUUUAAGUCUGAUUUGUGUGAUUUCCUGGCUGCCUUUCUGGAGAACGAGGAGCAUUAUCGUGGACCCUGAUGUGCUGUCAGUAAUCACCACGGUGGUUAAGAGAAUGUGCUGCAGUCACAAGACCAAGAUCAAGCACAAGCUCUACUUCUUACAAGCAACGUGCCCUUUGGGGAGCAUUUGAGGACCGUGAUAUGUAACCAUUUUCCUGAGGAUACGAUCUCUACUGCCAGCUUCCAUGAGCCACUAAGGGACAUGAGCUAUUACUUCAUAGAACAGACUCUUCUCAAUGCUAUUCUCUAGUCUUUUUUAUUGUUGUUGUUUUUCUUUGUUUUGCUUUCUCUCAAUCAUUCUGUAAUUUCAGUAAACUUCUGGAAAUAAUGAAACAAGACUCUAAGACAUGUUUUCACUAUAAGAUAAUUGUGGUUAUAUAAGUCUAGCUACCUAGAACGUAAAUUGCAUGCUUUCCAUCCAAUUUCUAUUCAAUU